Long non-coding RNA from Phragmites australis (common reed), 1081 nucleotides. RefSeq lists it as uncharacterized. Lineage: Eukaryota; Viridiplantae; Streptophyta; Magnoliopsida; Poales; Poaceae. The transcript is spliced from 3 exons. The record is from RefSeq and is a predicted model, not a curated record.
ACUCGUCAGCGUAUCUCGCAGUGUCCGACCACGCAGAACUCCAUUCCUCUUCCCACGACAGCCGACCGAUCGAUUCCCCGCCGCCGGCCUCACCGGAGCACAGGUUGGAGGCCCCUCCCCCUCUGCUUGAUCCGCUGGCCGCUGUAAAGUGGCCCGUCUGUUGAUGCUGUAGAUGUCUUGCAUGUCUAGGUGCUUUCUCUGAUCCAACAAAGAAGUAUUUAAGAAUACCUAUGGCGACACGCGCCAGCUCAUGACGACGUACACGCCGGAGUACCUCGGGCUGAGGCAAGGCCCCGGGUUCUGGGGAGACGUCGCCGGGUACGGGAAGGGGGUCGUCGUCGGGCUGCUCGAUGUCGGCAUCUACGGGGCGUGCAUUUACCAUGGCGAAGAAGGCAAAGUCGCCGGCAAGAUGGUGGUAUGCGAGGCCGUCGACAAUCUACUCCCCUACAACACGUCGGAGAAGCCCAUCGUCUGUGCCAUAAAGAGCGCCGGCGAGGCUGGCGUGGUGCUGAUCAACACCAAGAGCCGACGGCUGCACCACCGACCUUGAUCGCAGCUAUGUCAGAAAUUCAGAAUAGAAGGUAAAAUAGAAAUGCACGGCAGCCUCAGGUCUUCCACAUUUGAGUGUGAUUCUUCCCAUGGGCCACGAGAAGGUAAAAAGACUCGAAGAGCCUGCUCCGGUGGAGUGCACUGAGCACACUCGACGAAUUAGCAGCAAAAAAUCAUAGACCAAUAAUUCUGAAGGCUCAGGUAAAGAACAGAAUUUCUCAUGAUAUUAUGUCUAGUCAAUUUGUAACCAUGUAUCUUAGCGUGCAGGUCUGUUUAACAUGUUCUGUAAUGAUCAGUAUGCCCAAAAUUUGGAAAUCGAUUUCAGAUCAUCUGUGCUCCUGCUCUGAAUUCCAUUGUUUUCACAGUUGCUGAACUUGUAAAGAGAGCCCAGGAACCAAAUAACCGCAGCACGAAAUGUACAAUGCAAUACCCACAACUGAGGCACAGUAAAGCUAUUUGGAAAUCGAUUUCAGAUCAUCUGUGCUCAUGUAUUAUGUCAGUACUGACUACGGUAUGUGCUCCAAUUAUAAUG